CCGAGUUUUGUCUUCUUUAAGCAAAGUGAAAUGGUGGCAAACACCUUUGAUUUAAAGGUAGGGUAUUCCGUGAUUUAAGCAUUAGUGGAUCAAUCAAGACCGGUGCUUUAUUUGCUUACGUGUUUAUGCAUAAUUGAAAAUCAUUCAACAAAGAAAGCAGAAGAAAUCUCACUCUCUCUCUCUCACGGCCGAACCCAGCAAAAACAGAGCACGGAUUCUUCGAUCUCUCUCUCCCUCCUCAGGCCACCUCAAGACGUCGAACCACCUCCAUUAGCCUCGCCUAGACCUUGCACUGCUGCAGUGGCAUCCUUGCACCGCGGCACAACCGGAAAACGGCGGCGGAAACACGGUUUCGUUUUAAAACCCGAUUGGGUCCAAUUGUGAUAACUCGAGCUACAGGCCAUCAAUCCUCACCAAACUUCAUCCUCGAGCUCGCCUCAACUUCCUGAAGCUCCCAGAAGCAGCCUCACACGGCGGCGUGGCCCGUAGCAGUGGCUACAAGUCAAACCCAACCAAGAACGAAACCGGAGCUAUCGAUCCAAAUAUCUUGAGCUACAGGAUGUCGUUUUGAGUGAUUCUUGAACCAGUGAGCUCGCCUUGAAGUUCUGAACAACUCUCCAGAAGGAAUCGAAGCGUUUCGUUGAAGUUUUUACGUCGGAAUUCAAGCUCGCCGGAUUCUGGAAAUUUUCCGGCCACCGACGCUUUCGAUCAAGAUAUCUUGAGCUGUAGAGCUUCGUUUUGAGUGAUUCUUGAACCAGUGAGUUCGUCUUUAAGUUCUGAACAAGUCUCCUGAAGGAAUCGAAGCGAAAGGAGGACAUUUUUACGUUGAUCGGAGCUUCGCCGGCUUCUGCAAAUUCUCGCCGGUUUUUGGAAAAAUUCCGGCCACCUCGACUGUUUUAGGUGAUUGACGGUCUUCCUUGGGUGAGCGAUUUCGGUGUGUAUUGUGUUGAAUUGAAGACGCAGCGGGAAUAUCGAGCGGGUAAUCCUACAGGUCAGGCGAAUCGGGAAGGUGAUCGAGCUGCUUAGAGAAAUUGCAUUGGGUAAAUCUGGAUUUAUAUUGUGAGGUUUAUUAUGCUCUUUUGAGUAUUGUAAAUUAAGUUGUGAGAGUGUGAUGUAAUAAGUAAAUUGAAGAUUGGUUUUUGUAAUAUUGAGAGGUGUGAAGUGUGGUUGUUUGUGAGAAAAAAAUUCAGGACGUUAUUUGUAUUGAUGUUAAUCAUGUUUCGGAUUUGAAUUGAUUAUUCAAAAUUCGGGGCGUGACAGUUUGGUAUCAGAGCGUAAGGUGCAUAUUCGGUGAUGUGUCAAUACCUUCCGAGUGAUGGCCCGUCUGCAGCGGAUCCCCAUCGUGUACUCUUCGGUAUUGGCAAAGUCAUUGGGUAUGUAUGAACGUUAGGAGUCGUCUAGGACGUCGAGUUGCUUUAGGACCUUGAAUGCUUCCUUAUGGUAUUGACUUGGUUAAUAUGGACUGGUAUUUGACUUAUAAUGUGUGUAAGUG
Rosa rugosa (rugosa rose) is the source of this 1492-nucleotide long non-coding RNA. RefSeq lists it as uncharacterized. The transcript has 3 exons. The record is from RefSeq and is a predicted model, not a curated record. Lineage: Eukaryota; Viridiplantae; Streptophyta; Magnoliopsida; Rosales; Rosaceae.